RNAcentral lists this microRNA (23 nucleotides) under Haemonchus contortus (barber pole worm). RNAcentral's name for it is "hco-miR-250". Its record names the gene hco-miR-250. Lineage: Eukaryota; Metazoa; Nematoda; Chromadorea; Rhabditida; Trichostrongylidae. RNAcentral also lists the same sequence under 1 other name. The record is from miRBase by way of RNAcentral.
UCGAAUCACAGCCAACUGCUGCU